GAUGAAGAACGUAGCGAAAUGCGAUAAGUAAUGUGAAUUGCAGAAUUCAGUGAAUCAUCGAAUCUUUGAACGCACCUUGCGCCCUUUGGCCAUUCCGAAGGGCAUGCCUGUUUGAGUAUCAUGAACACCUCAACUCUUUAUGGUUUUCCAUGAUGAGCUUGGACUUUGGGGGUUUUGCUGGCCUAUGGUCGGCUCCUCUAAAAUAAAUCAGCUUACCAGUGUUUGGUGGGUAUCAUGGGUGUGAUAACUAUCUACGCUUGUGGUUUUCCCACCAGGUAACCUUCGACAGCGGAGGUUCACUGGAGCUCAUAGAUGUCUCUCCUCAGCGAGGACAGCCCUUUGAAUGUUUGAUCUCAAAUCAGGUAGGACUACCCGCUGAACUUAAGCAUAUCAAUAAGCGGAGGA
Molecule: unclassified non-coding RNA, 405 nt
Filed under: soil metagenome
Description: partial contains 5.8S ribosomal RNA, internal transcribed spacer 2, and large subunit ribosomal RNA
Rfam family: 5.8S ribosomal RNA (bases 1-121)
Source: RNAcentral